RNAcentral lists this ribosomal RNA (495 nucleotides) under uncultured bacterium. Its description in RNAcentral is "partial 16S ribosomal RNA". It matches the Rfam family "Bacterial small subunit ribosomal RNA", at positions 28 to 507 of the family's 1533-position model. The record is from RNAcentral.
GACGAACGCUGGCGGCGUGCCUAAUACAUGCAAGUAGAACGCUGAAGGAGGAGCUUGCUUCUCUGGAUGAGUUGCGAACGGGUGAGUAACGCGUAGGUAACCUGCCUGGUAGCGGGGGAUAACUAUUGGAAACGAUAGCUAAUACCGCAUAACAGUAGAUAUCGCAUGAUAUCUACUUGAAAGGUGCAAUUGCAUCACUACCAGAUGGACCUGCGUUGUAUUAGCUAGUUGGUGAGGUAACGGCUCACCAAGGCGACGAUACAUAGCCGACCUGAGAGGGUGAUCGGCCACACUGGGAAUGAGACACGGCCCAGACUCCUACGGGAGGCAGCAGUAGGGAAUCUUCGGCAAUGGACGGAAGUCUGACCGAGCAACGCCGCGUGAGUGAAGAAGGUUUUCGGAUCGUAAAGCUCUGUUGUAAGAGAAGAACGAGUGUGAGAGUGGAAAGUUCACACUGUGACGGUAGCUUACCAGAAAGGGACGGCUAACUACGUG